RNAcentral lists this ribosomal RNA (264 nucleotides) under uncultured bacterium. Its description in RNAcentral is "partial 16S ribosomal RNA". It matches the Rfam family "Bacterial small subunit ribosomal RNA", at positions 793 to 1055 of the family's 1533-position model. The record is from RNAcentral.
GUCCACGCCGUAAACGAUGGAUGCUAGCCGUCGGCAAGCUUGCUUGUCGGUGGCGCAGCUAACGCAUUAAGCAUCCCGCCUGGGGAGUACGGCCGCAAGGUUAAAACUCAAAGGAAUUGACGGGGGCCCGCACAAGCGGUGGAGCAUGUGGUUUAAUUCGACGCAACGCGAAGAACCUUACCGGCUCUUGACAUGCCUCGAACCCCAGCAGAAAUGUCGGGGGCCCAGCAAUGGGCGGGGACACAGGUGCUGCAUGGCUGUCGU